GACGAACGCUGGCGGCGUGCUUAAUACAUGCAAGUCAACUUGACUUUAGAUAGCAAUAUCGAAAAGUAGGGUGGCGCACGGGUGCGUAACGCGUAGGUAAUCUGCCCUGAGGUCUGACAUAACCCGUCGAAAGGCGGGCUAACAUCAGAUGAUAUAUAAUCACGACAUCGUGGAAAUAUCAAAUCUUCGGAGCCUUGGGAUGAGCCUGCGUCUGAUUAGGUAGUUGGCGGAGUAAUAGCCCACCAAGCCUACGAUCAGUAGCUGGUCUGAGAGGAUGAUCAGCCACACGUAGGAACUGAAGACACGGUCCAGACCUCCGUACGGGAGCAGC
Molecule: ribosomal RNA, 331 nt
Filed under: uncultured bacterium
Lineage: Bacteria
Description: bacterial SSU rRNA
Rfam family: Bacterial small subunit ribosomal RNA
Source: RNAcentral